This 305-nucleotide ribosomal RNA is filed under the name uncultured bacterium. RNAcentral's name for it is "bacterial SSU rRNA". It matches the Rfam family "Bacterial small subunit ribosomal RNA", at positions 333 to 637 of the family's 1533-position model. The record is from RNAcentral.
GAACCUACGGGGGGCAGCAGUGAGGAAUAUUGGUCAAUGGGCGCAAGCCUGAACCAGCCAAGUCGCGUGAGGGAUGACGGUCCUAUGGAUUGUAAACCUCUUUUGUCGGGGAGCAAGGCCCGCCACGUGUGGCGGGAAGGAGAGUACCCGAAGAAAAAGCAUCGGCUAACUCCGUGCCAGCAGCCGCGGUAAUACGGAGGAUGCGAGCGUUAUCCGGAUUUAUUGGGUUUAAAGGGUGCGCAGGCGGCGAGUUAAGUCAGCGGUAAAAUUUCGGGGCUCAACCCCGAAGAGCCGUUGAAAAUGGC